Long non-coding RNA from Cuculus canorus (common cuckoo), 5497 nucleotides. RefSeq lists it as uncharacterized. The transcript is spliced from 3 exons. The record is from RefSeq and is a predicted model, not a curated record. NCBI's taxonomy places the organism in Eukaryota, Metazoa, Chordata, Aves, Cuculiformes, Cuculidae.
UCUUCCAGUUAUAUUCAGGUCCCUGUUACAGUCAGCAGAGAUUGCUUUAUCUCUGUUUCUUUCCUUUUGUUCCAGCUUUCAACUACAUUUUGUGCAUAUUCAUAUUCACAGUUUCCUUUAUAUGUUUUCUCUGUUUUGUUUGUGUGGAAACCUUCCUGAAACAGCAGCUGAUGGUGCUCCUUCAACUGAAGAAUUCUGAGGGCAAAAUGCAGCUGAAAUGAUACAGGCACACAUCUGGAUGAUUUAUUUAAACCACAAGGUCUUGCUCAGACCAUCCUCUACUGUUCUUCUACAUACUUAUAAAAACUUUGGAUUUCUGCUUCUUAGCAUAUGAUGUCUGAUUACUUCAGAAUUUCUUGGAACUCUCCCAAGGAAUCACCUGGGAGGUCAUUCAGCAGAUGGUAUCCAUUUUCCCUUCAAACCAAAAUGAAGUCAUGAUGGUUUCCACCUGAACCUGAUAAAGAAGAAAUCUUUGGGAUGCAAUGGUAAUGAGAACCUGCAGCAGCCUUAGCAUAAGACCAAUAAAAACUGUAAUUAAUUUGAAAACUACUUAGUCUCCCACUGCUUACACCCCACUGUUAUUCCACAGGCAUUAACAUAUCCUGUUUAUCAGAGUUACUGUCUUACAUUUAAUGUUGAAGUUUGCUGGCUUUAUUUCAGACCUGAAAGUGGAUCAGGUGUCAGCACACUGCACUGAUAAACUUCCCACAAGAACAGGGUAUGAUAAACACUGUCUCCAAGAGGCCACCUUUCCAACAGUACCUGCCUCACCAGAGAGACACGCAAACGCCUUAUACUGAAAGGCACAAGUAAGUUUGGAUCGGGCUGCAGGAAACAUGACCACUUCACUACCCAGAUCUAGAAUUCAGCCUUUUUAUCUACCAGAUUUAACUAAAAUCGGCCCAAUUCCAGGACAUCCUUGAAUCUUGGUCUUAAACAGAAGGACUGGGCUUUGGGUUAAAUCUUUCACGUGCUACCAUUCAAACUAUCUUUAUAUUGCUAUUCUCACCCUCCAGCUGUUUCUUUAAUACAUUACUUUGAUACAUUAGAUGCAACAAACUCUGCUUAUGCUAAUCCAUAUAAACUUAAUUCAAAAUGGAUUUUAAAUGUGCUGAAAGGCACUUUACAAUAAAGACAAGAUCUUCAGAAAAUCCCAAGAACUAACUUUGAAAUCUAUCAAAUGAGUAUUUGCUUCUACUGUUUUUAGAAGGCUGACCUCUGAAAUACACCUUCCCUUUAAAGCCAGCGUCCUGGUGCUAUUUUAGUUCUUUGCUCUUUUCUUUUCCCCCUCCCCUGUCUAUAAACAUUAGAGGGACAGACUUCAGCAAGCCUGUCUUUUAUCUGGCAAGUGCUAUCCAUGGGACAAUUCAAAAGACAUGGACAAUUGAAUUAACAAGUAUUGUUACACUCCAUUGCAUGGUAGAUCCAGCAGGAAUUAUAAAGAAUGGCUUAGAAAGUGAAGCUGGACAUCCACCUGCUACAUCCAGAACAAUAACUUCAUAUUUGCCUGUAGCUGGUUUUGCUUAAAAAGUCUCUCUUCUGGGUAGUUUUCUGUUGGUUUAGCCUCAAGCCCAGCUUGAUCAGCAGCUAAACAUGAGCAGCAGUGCUCCCAAUCUCCCACUGCCCGGCUCCUCCUUCAGGGAAGGGGGAUGAGAGAAAGAGAUGUGUGAGUUGGAAACUAAAACAAAACCAGCUUUAAUGAAACAAUAAUAAUAAAGUAUAUGCAAAUAUACAAAAUCAAACCCCUCUCAAUGACUAUAUGCCACCACUGAUGCUGCAAAGCAAACAUAGGGAAAGAGGUUCCAGGCUGGACUUAGUGGCACACAGGAGCUGGAGUUAGGAACUGAAUUGAGGAACGUACAGAUCCAGGAUCAGGGGUAGAAGGACAAAUGAGGCCUGUAUUAGAUGCCCGCCAUCAAAGAAGAGAGCUUAACCCUUAUGAUCCCUCAGUUUUAUACUGAAUAUGACAUACAUGGAAUGGAAUACUGCGCUGGUCAGUUUUGGGUCAUCUGUCCUGUCUGCUCCUCCCUGCAGGUGUGAUGCUUUUUUGCCCCUUUGACAUAUGGCACCCCACUUGAGGAUGGCCUUCAUCUCCAUAGGGACAGAUGUAAGCAAUGGCCUUUCUGUCCAACGCCCUAUUACUUUAGUGAUAAUCAUAAAUUUUAAGUGCUAGCACUACUAGAGAUACACACUGUCUGCAAACAUGUAGUUAACUUUCAGAAAAUGAAGUUACUUAGACAAGGCUUAGCUGGAAAGUUAGAAAAUUCAUUCUGCUCUAGCUGAAACCAGAUCAUUUCCCAGCAGGGAUUUAACUUUCUAGGAUUAAUCCAAGAGCUUUACACCACUUUGAUUUUGUUCAGAAAGUUUGUCAAAGAAUACAUUCAGCGUCUGUCUUUCUAAGAGCAAAGAUGAAUGCACCAUUAUUUCCUCAGUAGAUGUUUGUAAGCACUUGUUAGCUUUACUGAAGUGAACAUUUCCAAUGUCUUUGUGCUUUUGGAGGAGCUAAUUUCCGACCUAACUGUGAGUUGCUCUAGCCACUGCACUUAAAUGGUUUACUUUCCUGUCCUAAUUUCUCAACUACAAUGCCCCACUUCACUAAAAAUUAAAUAAAUAAAGAUGUAUGGGUUUGUACAUUUUUUUUUCUUCUCUGCAGAGAACAAUCUCUGAUCCAAACAACACAGGCAAGUUUAUUCUGUAUGCCAGAAUGUUUUUCCCUUGUGUCUGGGUCGUAAUGAUCACCAACAUGAACCACCACAACACCCUGUGUGUCUACCAGUAAGACAGCAAAGACCCAUGUGACAGCUAUGCCUACCCAGGAUAUUCCUCACUGCCUGGUGCCAGAAAGGGCUUUUUUAAGGCUGGUGCUGGAAUGGCAUGAACAAAAUAACACUGCCAGGAACCUGAUUUUAUUCCAGGAAGCGGAGAAAUUCAUGACUGCACGCAAACACCAUGACACAGCCAAUUCAUUACUAAAUGAGUCACUAAAUAUCUGGGGUUUGUCCACAGGAUACUUGCACUGAAUUCAGCUUUCAAAACAACAACAACAAAAUAUCUCUGUUGUUACUGCAGAUAACAUUUUAAGUGUAUCUUUUAUUGACUAGGUUUUCUAUCUGCUGCAUUACUGAUAACUAAGGUGGCCAAUUGACAUGGUUGAAUAACUGAGGUGGUUCAGAUGAUCAAGAAAACACAGAUUUCCCUUUUCAGUUACACAAGAAAUGACUGGACAUUGGCACCUCUACUUUCCAUCAUAAACAGCAUUUUAAUGCACAGAAUUUGUGGAUCCUAACACAGAUCCUACAGCCAUCAUUUAACUUUUGACACACUUGCUGGUCCAAGCACAGGAACACGCUUUAAUGGUCACCUGCCAAGGUAGGAUAAACCCUUUAUUUACUCCAGGUUAAGAUAGCUGAAGCCCUGUCCCCUCAUGCAUAUACAAUGUUCAACUUAACACCAACAUCUAAAAAUGUCAACAGUAUACAAUAAAUACUUUGAAAACAAUUUAGACAGACAGCAGAUCCUUGAAUUGUUUUUUAGGGCUGAUGCAGUAAGCGUAAAACUACCCUAUGAUACCUUUUCAGAUAUAUAAAAGGAAGAUGAGAAAUUUUCUUAGGUGCUGCCUUAUCAUAGCAACAAGUAGGAAAUGACUGGUUUUAACACUGUUAUUUACAAUUUUCCUAUAGUUUCUCAAAGGAAGGAAAAAGAUUGAUGCUAGACCUCAAAAAAAUAAAUAACAAAACAAACAGAAAUAACAAGACAAACAUAGCCACCUAAAAGAACUGCGCAAGGUGCAUUCCCUGUUUCUUUACAAUCCUAACAGAAUUAGCACUGGUUUUGACAUGCCUGAUUGUCUGGCAAUGGAGUUCAUAGAAUUUAGACUUAUUGUGCUCAUUUUUCCUAUUAUCACAAGUAUUUUGCUUAUAUAUUCAAGCAGAGAUAAUAAAAGUCUAAUAAUUACUAGUACAGAGAUUGCAUGUAACAUUCCUACUCCUGGAAACACGUGGUUUUAACACUCCCUGAUUCUGAUGUGCAUGAGCAACUUUAUACAAACAACAGGGAAAGAAAAAUGACUUUACAAGACAAAGAGUGAAAUGAAAUACAUGAAGUGCUGUCAAUGGCUCAUUGUAAACCUGGGAAAAAUAAAGCGAUAAAAAUCAAUUUCUGCAAACAAUGUUUCACUUACACUGUUUUAAACAUUCUAUAACAGUAGAGGGUAGGGAAAAAAGGUCAUGCUGUUUUAAUUUUGAGACUAUUGCAUAUUCUUUAAGAAAACCUUGUAGAUACUUGAGACUUCAUAUUUCAAAUUUGUGCCUCAGAAGUGACACAGACUUUCAGAUUUCAGGCACAUAAUAAAUAACAUAAACCAGCAGCAGUAAUGUGGGAUCACAGCCUAUGGAAACAGAAGAUACAUGCUUACAAGCUGAGUUUGCAUUCAGAGUUUUUAAGCAGAAGGCCCUGUGCAGAAAACCUCCUAAAAAUGAGCCAGCUGAUAUGAGGUCACGAGGAAAUGAAGAGUAAACUACACAAAGUCCAUUUGAAGCUCUUCUGACUAUUAAGAAGUGGGCUGGCAUCGAGCCCCAGUAACUGCGUUUUCACUCCCCUCUCUCCUUGUAGCAUUUCCUUCAUUGUUUUGUACUGUCUGUAAGUGCACGUCAGCAGCAUUACAAGAGCCCAGUGUGCUCACCCCCGCCUUGCAGCUUCCCAUGAAAAAAUUACUAAUGCACACAGUUCAUCACUCCUCCUUUUGCCAGCAGUGCCAUUGAAAGACACCAGAGAAGGGCAGAAGAACAAAAACUGUGCAAGGAAGCGGAGAAUAAGCACCAGAAAAAGUGAGGGAAGAAAAGGAAAAGACAUAUUCUGCCGUCGGUUAUGUCUGGCAGCUCUGGAUUCAUGAAACAGAUGGGAGUGCAGAAUUGUCCUCUACAGAGACAAAGGGUGAGAAGAUAAUUAGGAUCCUCACUUGGACCAGCUACCUAAAUAAUCUUUUAAAAAAGAUAAAAAUCAAAUAAACACUAUCUGUACUUUCCCCACAGAGAAGGAGAUUUCCCUCCAACCGCAAGAGAGGUUUUUUAUAACCAACCAUUUGUAAUUACCCAUUUAGAAGAAUUAAGCCAAUUUAGUUCCAGACAGAAUACAAUCUAUGUACUGCAGUCUGAUCAGGAACAGAAGCACAGCCCUGACCACUCCAAGAAACUACAGCAGUCAGCACAGGACAAUGCUGUUACAGCAAAAGUAUUAUCUAAAGCUAAACCAUAAUACACCAAGUUUGCACUAAAACUAAAACACUUGAAUGGAACUGGGGGGAGGAAAGAAGAACUAGACCUGAGCUAUGUUUAUUUGUCAUAGUUUUAUUUACUUAAUUGAAGCCUCUGAUUAAGUAUACCAGCUGAACCAUGCCCCUGAGUUUAUAGUAGAUACAAACCAACUGCAUUAGUCAUGGUUACAUGCCUACCUGAUCUGAAAAACCAAACUGUAAUAGGUACUUCUCACCCACAAAGGG